RNAcentral lists this ribosomal RNA (492 nucleotides) under uncultured bacterium. RNAcentral describes it as "partial 16S ribosomal RNA". It matches the Rfam family "Bacterial small subunit ribosomal RNA", at positions 29 to 507 of the family's 1533-position model. The record is from RNAcentral.
CGUGAACGCUGGCGGUAGGCCUAACACAUGCAAGUCGAACGGCAGCACAGUAAGAGCUUGCUCUUACGGGUGGCGAGUGGCGGACGGGUGAGGAAUACAUCGGAAUCUACUUUUUCGUGGGGGAUAACGUAGGGAAACUUACGCUAAUACCGCAUACGACCUACGGGUGAAAGCAGGGGAUCUUCGGACCUUGCGCGAUUGAAUGAGCCGAUGUCGGAUUAGCUAGUUGGCGGGGUAAAGGCCCACCAAGGCGACGAUCCGUAGCUGGUCUGAGGGGAUGAUCAGCCACACUGGAACUGAGACACGGUCCAGACUCCUACGGGAGGCAGCAGUGGGGAAUAUUGGACAAUGGGCGCAAGCCUGAUCCAGCCAUACCGCGUGGGUGAAGAAGGCCUUCGGGUUGUAAAGCCCUUUUGUUGGGAAAGAAAAGCAGCAGGUUAAUACCCCGCUGUUCUGACGGUACCCAAAGAAUAAGCACCGGCUAACUUCGUG